Long non-coding RNA from Sapajus apella (tufted capuchin), 218 nucleotides. RefSeq lists it as uncharacterized. The transcript is spliced from 3 exons. Lineage: Eukaryota; Metazoa; Chordata; Mammalia; Primates; Cebidae. The record is from RefSeq and is a predicted model, not a curated record.
GACUCCCCCUGAAGCCGAUUCGGGUUUCCCUCCACCAGGCGUCUUUGGAUCACACUGUGUGGCUGCUGGCUCCAUCACAAAACAAUGAAGAUCCCAGGGUUGGUGGUGUGAUGAAAAGAAGUAAGAAAUUGAAGAACUAGGCCGGGCGCAGUGGCUCACGCCUGCAAUCCCAGCACUUUGGGAGGCCAAGAAAUUAGCUGGGCAUGGUGAUGCGUGCC